Ostrea edulis (European flat oyster) is the source of this 1018-nucleotide long non-coding RNA. RefSeq lists it as uncharacterized. The transcript has 3 exons. NCBI's taxonomy places the organism in Eukaryota, Metazoa, Mollusca, Bivalvia, Ostreida, Ostreidae. The record is from RefSeq and is a predicted model, not a curated record.
UUUAAAAGUCUGUGUAUUUCGAAAUAAAAAUACGGACUAGUUAAGGGUAAUGUGUUUCUACAUGCCAUUUUAUGUGAUAUAUAUUAUCAGAAGAGAGGAUAAAGCAACACAGAACUUACAAACUUCAAAAAGGGUGUCCUCAAAAGAUCUGUGUGGAUCCUGGAACAGAGAAUGGAAUCGUUGCAGCAUUUCGUUUAAUCCUGUUUAGAAGGAAAUGGCAAUUCAGUGACUUGGGGAAAAGCUGGAGCAAAUCAAGGUGCUUCACAAUACUUCUAUGCAGUUCAAUAAAAUACAGUGCCUAAUUUACAGAGACUUGUAUUUAAACAAUUUCCAAGAUAUUGAGGAAGAUUUUACAUGUGUGGCAACAUCUAUUUUGCAUCAGCAUGAUCUGCCUUUGCUUGACACCUUGAGAGACUGGACCUCUGCUCGUCAUCUCUGCAUAUAUCUGAGGGAGUGCAUGAUGCAUUUGCGUCGUGUCACUCGAUGCAAACUUCCGUUGCUUUCGAUAAGUAGGGGUAGGUAUCGAGGACAUUUCGGGUCACUGGAUCUUUAAUACGGCAUGUAGACAUAAACAGACGAUAGGGAGAAGUCGUUGGAUCUUUUUCCAACGUAGAUAUCGCCAGAAACCGGUAGGCGGAGAGUAGAAAUUGUUAAAAACAAGCCGUGAAUCGAGGGCCCCCCAGAAAUCCAAGAUGGCGAGUGUCGUCCCUUUACUUUUGUUGAAUGUACACAUGAUACACCUUGUUUAAAACCUCGAAAAAAGCGGAUUUUGGUGGUGGAUUUUAUUUAUAUAAUUUAUUAUUCGGACACAAAUCAUGCAAAACUUCAAUUUAUUAUUCGGGAACAAAUAAUACAAAACUUCAAUAUCUGACAACCGAGCCCCUGUGGUAAACAGCGGAUCUAAAUCAUCUAAUAUUCUUAAUUACAAUAAUAAUCAUACACUAAAAGAUAUGUGGUGCACUAAUAUAAAUGUCAAUCUUUUAAAAUAAUCGUACAAAUAAACCGAUGCUUUUACUUG